RNAcentral lists this long non-coding RNA (231 nucleotides) under Chinchilla lanigera (long-tailed chinchilla). RNAcentral describes it as "lncRNA (ENSCLAG00000026591.1)". The record is from RNAcentral. Lineage: Eukaryota; Metazoa; Chordata; Mammalia; Rodentia; Chinchillidae.
UUUUUUUCCUACAGAAUUGAGACCUUAGCCCUGUGGUUCUGGGCUUUCCGCAUUUCAAGAUGUUUUGAUGUUGUGAUGGGUAACUUGUUGGCCAGCCUGUACCACCUUUUCAGGACUAAGGCAGCCCAGUGAGCUCUUAGGAAGAGAAGAAGAUGGAACUCUCUCACAGCUGAGGUCCUCAGCUCUGACUGUGGCCGUGCUGGUCACUUAGGAGAGUAGCUGCUUUCAAGG